AAAGGCGUGUGUAUCCUAGUAUUUGUUUAUGUGUAAAAUGCAUUUAAGGUCCUGUAUUGUAAUUGUAGCUUUGCAAGCUCUUCAUUUCACAGGCAAUGGUGCUGUAACAAUUAAACUGCCGGGUUUGGAGUCAAUCAAAUUACCCAGUAUUCCGUCAAUCAAGUUGCCCAGUUUUCCGUCAAUUAACCGCCCAGUUCUGCCACUAUUUAACAAGCAUUUCAAACCAAGUUUCAAAAUAUCGGAUGAACGAAUAGACAAGAGAACGACAGCGAUCACUGGUAUAUUACCGACAAAAUCACUGUCUAACACUGAAGUGGCCUUUUCAUCAUCUACUUUAAGAAGUACUUCCGAAUAUUUACCCACAGUGGAGAAUUACAUGUCAGUGGCACACACAUAGACAAUCCUACUACGAUACAAAUAAUGGCACACCAGGACGUGUACUGCGGACAAAUUGUAACGGAAGGCACCUCACAUAACAUUCAGAUUCAUCUUUUGACAAUUUUGAUCAAUCGAACUGAGGACACGUAUAUUAUCUUGAACCAAGUUUAUUAUCACUAAAACUUUUUAGAUGUCCAA
Molecule: long non-coding RNA, 576 nt
Organism: Mytilus californianus (California mussel)
Lineage: Eukaryota; Metazoa; Mollusca; Bivalvia; Mytilida; Mytilidae
Exons: 2
Source: RefSeq, a predicted model, not a curated record